This 497-nucleotide ribosomal RNA is filed under the name uncultured bacterium. Its description in RNAcentral is "partial 16S ribosomal RNA". It matches the Rfam family "Bacterial small subunit ribosomal RNA", at positions 28 to 507 of the family's 1533-position model. The record is from RNAcentral.
GAUGAACGCUGGCGGCGUGCCUAAUACAUGCCAGUCGAGCGAACAGACGAGGAGCUUGCUCCUCUGACGUUAGCGGCGGACGGGUGAGUAACACGUGGAUAACCUACCUAUAAGACUGGGAUAACUUCGGGAAACCGGAGCUAAUACCGGAUAAUAUAUUGAACCGCAUGGUUCAAUAGUGAAAGACGGUUUUGCUGCCACUUAUAGAUGGAUCCGCGCCGCAUUAGCUAGUUGGUAAGGUAACGGCUUACCAAGGCAACGAUGCGUAGCCGACCUGAGAGGGUGAUCGGCCACACUGGAACGGAGACACGGUCCAGACUCCUACGGGAGGCAGCAGUAGGGAAUCUUCCGCAAUGGGCGAAAGCCUGACGGAGCAACGCCGCGUGAGUGAUGAAGGUCUUCGGAUCGUAAAACUCUGUUAUUAGGGAAGAACAAAUGUGUAAGUAACUAUGCACGUCUUGACGGUACCUAAUCAGAAAGCCACGGCUAACUACGUG